This 300-nucleotide long non-coding RNA is filed under the name Homo sapiens (human). RNAcentral describes it as "HSALNT0047519". The record is from RNAcentral. Lineage: Eukaryota; Metazoa; Chordata; Mammalia; Primates; Hominidae.
AGGCAAAAUCCAAGCCUGGCCACUUAGUCGUUGAACGUCAUUUCACCUCUCUAAGCCUCAGUUUCCUUAUCUGCAAAAUGGACCAAUUGUGACUAGAUAAUGAGAGAAGCCAUGUAACAGUAUAGUUCCAAUUGCCAGUCCAUGAACGAGUGCUGCUCCAGGAUGAUUAGUAUAGUCUAUGAGUGUGUCAGUGUGAGGAUGCUAACUACACAUUCUUGAAAGGACUGCCCUCUGUUCUGAGUUACAGCCCUCCUCCUUCUCUUCCCCCUCUUCCUUGUUCUCCAUUUUCUUCCCUUUCCC